Molecule: ribosomal RNA, 301 nt
Filed under: uncultured bacterium
Lineage: Bacteria
Description: partial 16S ribosomal RNA
Rfam family: Bacterial small subunit ribosomal RNA
Source: RNAcentral
CAGCAGCCACGGGAAUACGUAGGGUGCGAGCGUUAAUCGGAAUUACUGGGCGUAAAGCGUGCGCAGGCGGUUGUGUAAGACAGGUGUGAAAUCCCCGGGCUUAACCUGGGAACUGCGCUUGUGACUGCACAGCUAGAGUAUGGCAGAGGGGGGUGGAAUUCCACGUGUAGCAGUGAAAUGCGUAGAGAUGUGGAGGAACACCGAUGGCGAAGGCAGCCCCCUGGGCCAAUACUGACGCUCAUGCACGAAAGCGUGGGGAGCAAACAGGAUUAGAUACCCCUGUAGUCCCUGUCUCUUAUAC